AUGGACAAACACUAUAGUUUCUCAGGCAGCGUGUUGCAUCCACGGCUUUCUGCUGGUCUUUAUUUUUCAAGAGAAGAGAAAGUUGUUGAUCCUUUUCUUUUCCAAAUUUAUUCUUUAAUAAUCAGAUGGGUAUGCUACAAACAUCUUCCAGCUACGUUUAGAAAACCAACCCCCACUCAUGUAAAAAUGUGCUUGUACUAUGCAGAAAGAAAGAAAAAUAAUCUUGUACUGCUGUUAUUUUGUUUAUUGCUCGUUUAUUUACCGUUGUUAAUGGAGUACUUGUUGAGUACUAACAUGGGAGUAUGCUGCAAUGAUAGAGCAUCCAACUGUUUUGACUACCAUGAUUUUUUUUGUAGCUAA
This 360-nucleotide ribosomal RNA is filed under the name Triticum aestivum (bread wheat). RNAcentral describes it as "partial small subunit ribosomal RNA". Lineage: Eukaryota; Viridiplantae; Streptophyta; Magnoliopsida; Poales; Poaceae. The record is from RNAcentral.